Molecule: long non-coding RNA, 622 nt
Organism: Triticum aestivum (bread wheat)
Lineage: Eukaryota; Viridiplantae; Streptophyta; Magnoliopsida; Poales; Poaceae
Exons: 3
Source: RefSeq, a predicted model, not a curated record
GCCCAACUCCCCUGAUGCUCUGCACCCCGUUUGUUGGGAGGUGUUGAGCUGCUGUGAAGCUUCCUAGAGAUGCCAAUCUGGGUCGUUAUCAAGCAAGCCUGUAGGAUUCAGAAAUAAUCUAUUGCAUCUUGUGCAGUGGUCUUGAAGUAUGGCGCAGUUAUGACAAGGAACUGCACUCACCAAUGGAAUAGCUAGAAGUAAUCAAGCUGAUGGCCAUUGUAUCCCGGUGAUUGGAGACCACGUGGUGGUGGGUCUCACUGUCGGGAGUAGCGCCGGAGUGGGUGACGAAGAUUGAUGAGGCGGGGCCUUCUUCAGUUACAAGUCACACAUGUUGUGGCUGUCAAGAUCUAUGGUGCACAUAAUCCACCUCAUGCAGUUGUUCGCCAACGUCUGUCUGAACCAGUUCAAGCAGUAUUCUCGGCCAUGACGUGGUGCCUCCCUGGACUCGCAACUUGCCGAGUGCACCGCGCUGCAAUACCCAGAGGUGCAUCCGCGCCGGCGGCAAGCACAACGACCCCGAUGAUAUGUGAGCCGCCGGGGCGAGGAGCCUACCUCCGCACCACUGCCUAAGGCGAGGGGCUCCCCAGAACUGCUGCUCCAUUACGCUCCUCUCUUGAGGUAU